This 310-nucleotide ribosomal RNA is filed under the name uncultured eukaryote. Its description in RNAcentral is "partial 18S ribosomal RNA". It matches the Rfam family "Eukaryotic small subunit ribosomal RNA", at positions 1470 to 1796 of the family's 1831-position model. The record is from RNAcentral.
CCCUUAGAUGUUCUGGGCGGCCCGCGCACUACAAUGGCGCUUUCAGCGAGUUCCUAUGUUGAAUUUUCCUUGGUAUUCUUGGAAGCGGCGUCUUGACUUGGGAUAGAUCCUUGUAAUUGUUGGUUUUGAACGAGGAAUUCCUUGUAAUCGCGGUUGAUCAGCUCGCGUUGAAUACGUCCCUGCCCUUUGUACACACCGCCCGUCGCUCCUACCGAUGAAUCGUCCGGUGAAGUUCACAGAGUGGCGGUUCGUGGAGUUGCUCGCGAAGUGAAAUGGACCUCACGAUUUAGAGGAAGGAGAAGUCGUAACA